GACGAACGCUGGCGGCGUGCUUAACACAUGCAAGUCGAACGGAAAGGCCCUGCUUUUGUUGGGUGCUCGAGUGGCGAACGGGUGAGUAACACGUGAGUAACCUGCCCUUGACUUUGGGAUAACUUCAGGAAACUGGGGCUAAUAUCGGAUAGGAGCUCCUGCUGCAUGGUGGGGGUUGGAAAGUUUCGGCGGUUGGGGAUGGACUCGCGGCUUAUCAGCUUGUUAGUGUGGUAGUUGCUUACGAAGGGUUUGACGGGUAGCCGGCAUGAGAGGGUGAACGGGCACAUGGGGACUAAGAGAGGCAGCAGAAGGGUACGGGAGGCAGUAGGCGAGAACAUGACAGAGCAAGCGGACGCCUGUGGCAGCAGUGCUGGGUGCGGGAAGACGGGUUAUGGGGUGUAAACCGCUUUGGACUGUGACGAGGCGUGAGUGACGGUAAUGGGUAAAGAAGCACCGGCUAACUACGUG
This 468-nucleotide ribosomal RNA is filed under the name uncultured bacterium. Its description in RNAcentral is "partial 16S ribosomal RNA". It matches the Rfam family "Bacterial small subunit ribosomal RNA", at positions 28 to 507 of the family's 1533-position model. The record is from RNAcentral.